AUUGAACGCUGGCGGCAUGCUUUACACAUGCAAGUCGAACGGUAACAGGUUAAGCUGACGAGUGGCGAACGGGUGAGUAAUGCAUCGGAACGUGCCCGGUCGUGGGGGAUAACACUUCGAAAGAAGUGCUAAUACCGCAUACGAUCUGAGGAUGAAAGCGGGGGACCGUAAGGCCUCGCGCGAUCGGAGCGGCCGAUGUCAGAUUAGGUAGUUGGUGGGGUAAAGGCUCACCAAGCCGACGAUCUGUAGCUGGUCUGAGAGGACGACCAGCCACACUGGGACUGCGACACGGCCCAGACUCCUACGGGAGGCAGCAGUGGGGAAUUUUGGACAAUGGGCGCAAGCCUGAUCCAGCAAUGCCGCGUGCAGGAAGAAGGCCUUCGGGUUGUAAACUGCUUUUGUACGGAGCGAAAAGGCUCUCUCUAAUACAGGGGGCUCAUGACGGUACCGUAAGAAUAAGCACCGGCUAACUACGUGCCAGCAGCCGCAGUAA
Molecule: ribosomal RNA, 493 nt
Filed under: uncultured bacterium
Lineage: Bacteria
Description: partial 16S ribosomal RNA
Rfam family: Bacterial small subunit ribosomal RNA
Source: RNAcentral